GACACGCUGGCGGCGUGCUUAACACAUGCAAGUCGAACGGACGAGUGAGAUAAGUUUACUUAACUCACAAGUUAGUGGCGGACGGGUGAGUAACACGUGGAUAAUCUACCUGCAACACCGGGAUAACGCUGUGAAAACGGUGCUAAUACCGGAUACGUUCCCUUGUGCGCAUGUAUGAGGGAAGAAAGCUCAGGCGGUUGCAGAUGAGUCCGCGGCUGAUUAGCUAGUUGGUGAGGUAAAGGCUCACCAAGGCGAUGAUCAGUAGCCGGCCUGAGAGGGUGAACGGCCACACUGGGACUGAGACACGGCCCAGACUCCUACGGGAGGCAGCAGUGGGGAAUCUUCCGCAAUGGGCGCAAGCCUGACGGAGCAACGCCGCGUGGGUGAAGAAGGCCUUCGGGUUGUAAAGCCCUGUCUUAUGGGAAGAAGUCAGUGACGGUACCAUAGGAGGAAGCCACGGCUAACUACGUG
RNAcentral lists this ribosomal RNA (471 nucleotides) under uncultured bacterium. RNAcentral describes it as "bacterial SSU rRNA". It matches the Rfam family "Bacterial small subunit ribosomal RNA", at positions 33 to 507 of the family's 1533-position model. The record is from RNAcentral.